RNAcentral lists this ribosomal RNA (494 nucleotides) under uncultured bacterium. RNAcentral describes it as "partial 16S ribosomal RNA". It matches the Rfam family "Bacterial small subunit ribosomal RNA", at positions 28 to 507 of the family's 1533-position model. The record is from RNAcentral.
GACGAACGCUGGCGGCGUGCUUAACACAUGCAAGUCGAACGGUGAAGCGCCUUCCUUUUUGGUGGGUGUGGAUGAGUGGCGAACGGGUGAGUAACACGUGAGUAACCUGCCCCCUGCUUCUGGAUAACCGCAUGAAAGUGUGUCUAAUACGGGAUAUUCUGGGUCUGUCGCAUGAUGGGUCUGGGAAAGAUAUUGGUUCGGGGGGGGCUGGUCUCGCGGCCGAUCAGCUUGUUGGGGGGGUGAUGGCCUACCAAGGCGGUGGCGGGUAGCCGGCCUGAGAGGGUGGACGGUCACACUGGGAGUGAGACACGGCCGAGACGCCUACGGGAGGCAGACGUGGGGAAUAUUGAGCAGUGGGGGAAAGCGUGAUGCAGCGACGCCGCGUGAGGGAUGGAGGCGUUCGGGUUGUGAACCUCUUUCGCCAGUGAAGCAGGCCUGCCUCGUUUGUGGGUGGGUUGACGGUAGCUGGAUAAGAAGCGCCGGCUAACUACGUG